CUGGCAGCCCUGGAGAUUGAAAGCCUCUAUUUACCUGCACAACAGAUACAAUAUGAAAAGCAGCAGUGCAAGCUUCCCCACUACCAUGCUUCAAAUUCCUACUGCAGGGACCACCUCUACAGGAGAGAUGGUAAUUUAUUAUCAAUGUCCACUUAGUCCUUGGCCACU
RNAcentral lists this small RNA (168 nucleotides) under Chrysemys picta bellii (western painted turtle). Its description in RNAcentral is "TUC338 (ENSCPBG00000018697.1)". Lineage: Eukaryota; Metazoa; Chordata; Testudines; Emydidae. The record is from RNAcentral.